Molecule: ribosomal RNA, 433 nt
Filed under: uncultured bacterium
Lineage: Bacteria
Description: bacterial SSU rRNA
Rfam family: Bacterial small subunit ribosomal RNA
Source: RNAcentral
UCGGGAAUUUUGUGCAAUGGGCGAAAGCCUGACACAGCAACGCCGCGUGAAGGAUGAAGUCCCUCGGGAUGUAAACUUCGUAAGAAUAGGAAGAAUAAAUGACGGUACUAUUUGUAAGGUCCGGCUAACUACGUGCCAGCAGCCGCGGUAAUACGUAGGGACCAAGCGUUGUUCGGAUUUACUGGGCGUAAAGGGUGCGUAGGCGGCAUAUCAAGUCACUUGUGAAAUCUCCGGGCUUAACUCGGAACUGCCAAGUGAUACUGAUGUGCUAGAGUGCAGAAAGGGCAACUGGAAUUCUUGGUGUAGCGGUGAAAUGCGUAGAUAUCAAGAGGAACACCUGAGGCGAAGGCGAGUUGCUAGGCUGACACUGACGCUGAGGUACGAAAGCUAGGGGAGCGAACGGGAUUAGAUACCCUCGUAGUCCCUGAGCGGG